RNAcentral lists this non-coding RNA (116 nucleotides) under Edwardsiella tarda. Its description in RNAcentral is "Ribosomal S15 leader". It matches the Rfam family "Ribosomal S15 leader". Rfam says of the family: The E. coli Ribosomal S15 gene 5' UTR can form two alternative structures. One that is a series of three hairpins, The other includes a pseudoknot. Lineage: Bacteria; Pseudomonadati; Pseudomonadota; Gammaproteobacteria; Enterobacterales; Hafniaceae. The record is from RNAcentral.
GGGUUGCUGAAUUAGAGAUUGGCGCCCGUUUUUUAAACUUUUUAAAUUUGGAGUUCUAUAAUGUCUCUAAGCGUUGAAGCGAAAGCUAAAAUCGUUGCUGAGUUCGGUCGUGAUGC